RNAcentral lists this ribosomal RNA (740 nucleotides) under uncultured bacterium. RNAcentral describes it as "bacterial SSU rRNA". It matches the Rfam family "Bacterial small subunit ribosomal RNA", at positions 790 to 1530 of the family's 1533-position model. The record is from RNAcentral.
GUAGUCCUGGCUGUAAACGAUGUCGACUUGGAGGUUGUGCCCUUGAGGCGUGGCUUCCGGAGCUAACGCGUUAAGUCGACCGCCUGGGGAGUACGGCCGCAAGGUUAAAACUCAAAUGAAUUGACGGGGGCCCGCACAAGCGGUGGAGCAUGUGGUUUAAUUCGAUGCAACGCGAAGAACCUUACCUGGUCUUGACAUCCACGGAAGUUUUCAGAGAUGAGAAUGUGCCUUCGGGAACCGUGAGACAGGUGCUGCAUGGCUGUCGUCAGCUCGUGUUGUGAAAUGUUGGGUUAAGUCCCGCAACGAGCGCAACCCUUAUCCUUUGCUGCCAGCGGUCCGGCCGGGAACUCAAAGGAGACUGCCAGUGAUAAACUGGAGGAAGGUGGGGAUGACGUCAAGUCAUCAUGGCCCUUACGACCAGGGCUACACACGUGCUACAAUGGCGCAUACAAAGAGAAGCGACCUCGCGAGAGCAAGCGGACCUCAUAAAGUGCGUCGUAGUCCGGAUUGGAGUCUGCAACUCGACUCCAUGAAGUCGGAAUCGCUAGUAAUCGUGGAUCAGAAUGCCACGGUGAAUACGUUCCCGGGCCUUGUACACACCGCCCGUCACACCAUGGGAGUGGGUUGCAAAAGAAGUAGGUAGCUUAACCUUCGGGAGGGCGCUUACCACUUUGUGAUUCAUGACUGGGGUGAAGUCGUAACAAGGUAACCGUAGGGGAACCUGCGGCUGGAUCACCUCC